ACGUUAGCGUCACUUUCUACGUGGAAACUGUAACCGUCUAGAGUUCUCUGCAAAUUACACGUCUUCGGCCCAUUAAACAUUCUGGCUCACCAAUUAAUGGUAACACGUCAUCGAUUCCUUAACCUCCUCGUCCAGUCAUCAACUCCUGAAGCUUAACGACGAAAAAGUAAAAGACGAAAAACAAAAUUAGAGAAUGAGGUUAAUAAUUAUUAAAUAAAAAUAUUAUUAAAAUGCAUUCAGAUUCCACGUCAUCGAUGCGGACACAAAUUGUUGAGUAUGUAGCUCCAUACUUAUUUCAUACGAAUACGAC
This 310-nucleotide long non-coding RNA is filed under the name Manihot esculenta (cassava). RNAcentral describes it as "long non-coding RNA (MESC_LNC009919)". The record is from RNAcentral. Lineage: Eukaryota; Viridiplantae; Streptophyta; Magnoliopsida; Malpighiales; Euphorbiaceae.